RNAcentral lists this non-coding RNA (28 nucleotides) under Rattus norvegicus (Norway rat). The record is from RNAcentral. Lineage: Eukaryota; Metazoa; Chordata; Mammalia; Rodentia; Muridae.
UGAGAUGCUGUUCAGGUGGUCGACCAUC